RNAcentral lists this ribosomal RNA (465 nucleotides) under uncultured bacterium. Its description in RNAcentral is "partial 16S ribosomal RNA". It matches the Rfam family "Bacterial small subunit ribosomal RNA", at positions 28 to 507 of the family's 1533-position model. The record is from RNAcentral.
GACGAACGCUGGCGGCGUGCUUAACACAUGCAAGUCGAACGGAAAGGCCCUGCUUGCAUGGUACUCGAGUGGCGAACGGGUGAGUAACACGUGGGUGAUCUGCCCUGCACUUCGGGAUAAGCCUUGGAAACUGGGUCUAAUACCGGAUAGGAGCCAUUUUUAGUGUUAUGGUUGGAAAGUUUUUUCGGUGUAGGAUGAGCUCGGGGCCUAUCCGCUUGUUGGUGGGGUAAUGGCCUACCAAGGCGGCGACGGGUAGCCGGCCUGAGAGGGUGGACGGCCACAUUGGGACUGAGGUACGGCGCAGACGCCUACGGGAGGAAGAAGUGGGGAAUAUUGCACAAUGGGGGCACGCCUGAUGCAGCGACGCUGCGUGGGGGAUGACGGCCUUCGGGUUGUAAACUACUUUCGCUAGGGACGAAGCUUUUUGUGACGGUACCUAGAUAAGAAGCACCGGCUAACUACGUG